Molecule: ribosomal RNA, 949 nt
Filed under: uncultured bacterium
Lineage: Bacteria
Description: bacterial SSU rRNA
Rfam family: Bacterial small subunit ribosomal RNA
Source: RNAcentral
AACCGAGGUGUCAGCGUUAUCGGAUUAUUAGGUUUAAGGGUGUGUAGGCGGAUAUCUAAGUCAGUGGUGAAAUCCCGGGGUCUCAACUCCGGAACUGCCAUUGAUACUGGUUAUCUUGUAGUAUAGUUGAAGUAGGCGGAAUGUGUAAUGUAGCGGUGAAAUGCUUAGAUAUUACACAGAACACCGAUUGCGAAGGCAGCUUACUAAGCUAUUACUGACGCUGAUGCACGAAAGCGUGGGGAGCGAACAGGAUUAGAUACCCUGGAUAGUCCACGCCGUAAACGAUGAUUACUCGUUGUUGGCGAUAUAUUGUCAGCGACUGAGCGAAAGCAUUAAGUAAUCCACCUGGGGAGUACGUUGGCAACAAUGAAACUCAAAGGAAUUGACGGGGGCCCGCACAAGGCGGAGGAACAUGUGGUUUAAUUCCGAUGAUACGCGAGGAACCUUACCUGGGCUUAAAUGUAGCAUGACCGUACCCGAAAGGGUAUUUCUCUUCGGAGCAGGUUACAAGGUGCUGCAUGCUGUCGUCAGCUCGUGCCGUGAGGUGUCGGGUUAAGUCCCAUAACGAGCGCAACCCCUAUUGUUAGUUGCCAGCGGGUAAUGCCGGGAACUCUAGCAAGACUGCCACCGUAGGUGAGAGGAAGGUGGGGAUGACGUCAAGUCAGCACGGCCCUUAUGUCCAGGGCUACACACGUGUUACAAUGGCCAGUACAAAGGGCAGCUACCUGGUAAGCAGGAUGCAAAUCUCUAAAACUGGUCUCAGUUCGGAUCGGAGUCUGCAACUCGACUUCGUGAAGUUGGAUUCGCUAGUAAUCGUAUAUCAGCAACGAUACGGUGAAUACGUUGCCCGGGCCUUGUACACACCGCCCGUCAAGACCAUGGAAGGCCGGGGGUACCUGAAGUUCGUAAGCCGCAGGAGCGACCCUAGGGUAAAUCUGUAAUACGGGGU